AAUCCCAUUUUUGCCUGAUCAAUCCCUGUUCCGCCACAGGUCACCGAUUAUAGCUCGCUGAAAUGUCACCAAGAGAAUGAGAGACGUCUCUAUCAAGUUUACUGACAAAGGUAUCCCCGUUGUACUUACAUGCUCAGAGCUCUCCUGCAAGCACAGUUCUACACUCGCAUUCCAGUUCUCCGUAAUGACCUGGCCUUGUUCGUCUCCAUACCCGAUGUGGGGAUGCAGACGCCCAAAGUCUUGAUUGAAAAGAACCUCCAGUAACCGCGUGGAACCAACUCCCAGUCCGUUUCGGUGAUUCCACAGUAACUUCAUGUGGGCUCGAACAAGCGACGUUAUGAAGAGGAUAGUGAAGGCUCCCCCAGGCUAAAUGCUCGCCAUGGAUGUUCUCUGGAGCAUUGGCCCACACGAGAUAACACCACUAUUCACGCUUAGAUUUCUCCCGUUUGCGUCACUGGGACAUCACACCGUCAGGUCACAGUUUCACAACCGGACCCAAUCCACAUUUGAUG
Molecule: small RNA, 512 nt
Filed under: Histoplasma ohiense
Lineage: Eukaryota; Fungi; Ascomycota; Eurotiomycetes; Onygenales; Ajellomycetaceae
Description: hypothetical lncRNA
Source: RNAcentral